RNAcentral lists this ribosomal RNA (253 nucleotides) under uncultured bacterium. RNAcentral's name for it is "partial 16S ribosomal RNA". It matches the Rfam family "Bacterial small subunit ribosomal RNA", at positions 524 to 776 of the family's 1533-position model. The record is from RNAcentral.
CACGGGGGGAGCAAGCGUUGUUCGGAAUCACUGGGCGUAAAGGGCGUGUAGGCGGUCAGGUAAGUGGGACGUGAAAUGCCUCGGCUCACCCGAGGAGCGGCGUCCCAUACUGCUUGGCUUGAGUACGGGAGAGGAUGUGGGAAUUCCUGGUGUAGCGGUGAAAUGCGUAGAUAUCAGGAGGAACACCGGUGGCGAAGGCGGGUCUCUGGACAGUUCCUGACACUGAGACACGAAGGCCAGGGGAGCAAACGGG